ACCAGCGUGUCUGCAGCAUUCUGCAUCUGUCUUUCGACUGAAGAACAUUGGAUAUUUUGUGGGAAAAAUUAAAAAAAAUUUCAGUUUAAAGCUUAGAAAAUGGGGCCCAAGAAGAAGCGAGCAAAAGUGAAGUAACCCAGCCUGAAACAGCAGAGGGGGAGGAAGAGGAAGAGUUUGAUGAUGAUGGUAGCAGCACCGGCAAGCCCUGCACGGACAGGGAGAAGUGUGCCUUCAAGCCGGCAGAAGGCACAGCACCCCACCAGAGGGAUUUUCACAGCUAACGAUGCCCAGAAGUGAGGACAUUGCAAUCCCAUCAUCAUUGUCAGGCCAUUGUGUCAUGCUCAGUGAUAAGGACAAGGACAUCCGACACCCCAUCCCACCACUCAGCAGGAGUAGGAGCAGGACAGCAGCUCGGAGUCAAAGUGUGUUUCAGUGCUCAAACUGUUGGGCUAUUUAGUUGGGAUUUUUUACAAUGUAAUAAAAUGUGUUAUUCCCUUA
Molecule: long non-coding RNA, 498 nt
Organism: Neoarius graeffei (lesser salmon catfish)
Lineage: Eukaryota; Metazoa; Chordata; Actinopteri; Siluriformes; Ariidae
Exons: 2
Source: RefSeq, a predicted model, not a curated record